GGUGGACGUGCCCAUGUUGAGUUUGUUUCUAGUUGUUCUCCUAGCGGCAACGACAUUUGAGCCUAUCUCAUCUUUGCCAUCUACUAUUCCUGCAUUCCUUUGGUCCCCACACCAUCGCCACGGGUUUUCUAACAACAUUCUAGAAAAAUAUGUUGAUUAUCAGACCAUUUCCCCACAGGAGCUGGCAAAGUCUGUUCUGUAUGAAGGGGGCUGGUCACAAAUUCUGUGCACGGGAAAGGAAGUAGAGCAGCAUGUGGAUCUUGCAAUAAUCUUUGUUGGUUCAGAGUUGCAGUCAGAUUUCAUGUUGAGCAGGCGCGUGGAUCCAAAUCUUAUGGACUUACUUAAGGUCUCUUUCUCAAGGUCUAACUUCUCCAUGGCAUUUCCCUAUGUGGCUGCCCCAGAAAGGGGUGCAAUUGAAAAGUUAUUGAUCUCAGAGUUCAAAAAAUCAUGUGGGCAUGACCUCAGAAUCAGCAAUAGUGCUUUCCAGGAGUUGUCCUCUGUUGAGGAUGAAUCAUUCCAGAAACUUUCACUGCUGCCGCAUUCGAUUAAUGAUUAUAUGGUUUCAAGAAUGGAAACGAAGCCAAAGGGAGAGACAGAUUUGGUCGUUUUCUCUCAUGGAGAUUUCAGUUCUCCUAAAGAAGGAAAUCCAUGGACUUCUGAAAGCAAAACUUUGUUGGAGAUAAUGACUUCUGCGGAGCAUGCUGGGGCAAAGUAUGAAAUUCUCUAUAUAUCAGAUCCCUUUAGGUCCAUUCGCCAUUCGUAUGUGGAGCUGGGAAGAUUUAUGGCUGAAGGUUCCUCUGGAAAUGGA
This 808-nucleotide unclassified non-coding RNA is filed under the name Hevea brasiliensis (rubber tree). Lineage: Eukaryota; Viridiplantae; Streptophyta; Magnoliopsida; Malpighiales; Euphorbiaceae. The record is from RNAcentral.